Molecule: ribosomal RNA, 920 nt
Filed under: uncultured Exophiala
Lineage: Eukaryota; Fungi; Ascomycota; Eurotiomycetes; Chaetothyriales; Herpotrichiellaceae
Description: eukaryotic LSU rRNA
Rfam family: Eukaryotic large subunit ribosomal RNA (bases 570-920)
Source: RNAcentral
UCCGUAGGUGAACCUGCGGAAGGAUCAUUAACGAGUUAGGGUCUUUUUUGGCCCGACCUCCCAACCCUUUGUCUAUUCGACCAUCGUUGCUUCGGCGAGCCCGUCUUCACGGACCGUCGGAGGGUCCUUCACAGGUCCUCUGGCCCGCGCUUGUCGGUGGCCCCAACUUAAAUUCUUUAACUAAACGUGUCAUAAUCUAAGUACUAUAUAAAUUAAAGCAAAAACUUUCAACAACGGAUCUCUUGGUUCUGGCAUCGAUGAAGAACGCAGCGAAAUGCGAUAAGUAAUGCGAAUUGCAGAAUUCCAGUGAGUCAUCGAAUCUUUGAACGCACAUUGCGCCCUUUGGUAUUCCGAAGGGCAUGCCUGUUCGAGCGUCAUUAUCACCCCUCAAGCCCUUUGGCUUGGUGUUGGACGGUUUGGUGGAGGCCCUCGGGCUUCAACCCCUCCCAAAGACAAUGACGGCGGCCUCGUUGGACCCCCGGUACACUGAGUUCUUCACGGGACACGUAUCGGAUCAAGGGCCCACGGGACACGGUCUACCUCCCUGAAAGGGAGAAUUUUCUCAAGGUUGACCUCGGAUCAGGUAGGGAUACCCGCUGAACUUAAGCAUAUCAAUAAGCGGAGGUAAAGAAACCAACAGGGAUUGCCUCAGUAACGGCGAGUGAAGCGGCAACAGCUCAAAUUUGAAAUCUGGCCUCUUUGGGGUCCGAGUUGUAAUUUGUAGAGGAUGUUUCGGGUACCGCCUCGGUUUAAAUUUCUUGGAACAGAAUGUCAGAGAGGGUGAGAAUCCCGUCUUGGACCGGCGGUAGGGGCCCAUGUGAAACUCCUUCGACGAGUCGAGUUGUUUGGGAAUGCAGCUCAAAAUGGGUGGUAAAUUUCAUCUAAAGCUAAAUAUUGGCCAGAGACCGAUUGCGCACAAG